CGUGCCCGCAGCCGUGCCCGCAGCCCGCUCAGCCCUGCUCGCCGCCAGGUGCCUCCGCGCCCCGCUCCAUCUGCACCUUCUGCCUCAGCGACCAGCGGCAGCGGCACCGAGAAAGAGAGAAAGCAUCACCUGCUCCAGCCGUAACCGGGCCCUGAACAGGCUGAGGUCUCGCACCACUCCUGCUCUGACUGUACCACUGCUCUGGGUAACAUCGCCUCACUCGUGCUGCAUGUUUACAUUUAGAUAGCACAGUCCUAAAAGAGUUCCUCUUUAAGCCUAUGCACUUUGUUUCAUAUUGUGAGGGCUUUUUUCAGGGUGUUUUGCAAGUGAAAUCCACUGCCUCGGUCGCACCGGGCGCUGCAGCUAUUUUAGCGCGAGAAACGUUAAACCUCAGCAGCCAAGCCCUGAUCCUGAUGCCUCCCAAACCUGUGUCGCAUGAUGAAACUUGAACUUCCAAACACACGGUGUCCCCUGUCAGGGGGGGCUGCCACGAACGCGCCGUGCCCUCCGCCUCCAGCGCAGCCCGGGCUGCACGCAGCGCUGCCGCCCACCCCUGCAGCUGCACGCCAGCGCCGGGGACACGGCCUGAUGCCGACAGCUGACAUGCUUCAGAGGCCUCAGCCGUGCUGGGGGAUUAUUUUGAGGUGUUCACAGAAAGCUGGAAAAACUUCCAGUGAAAGAAAGCCGCGCCCUCGGCUGUGCACUGGCACAGAGCGCAGGGGCACGGGACGCAGCCAGCGCAGGGGAGGAAAGGGGAGAAGUGCAGUGUAAGCGAUGCUCCUUUCGUAUUAACACCGUGAGUCCUGCCAGCCCUUUAAAUAGCGCGGGAUAUUCCUAAAUCUGCCUGGCAGGGAGGGUUUUCCAAGGGCUUUUACCCAUCACCCCGGUCUUUCCAUAAUUGUGCCCUGUACACCACUGAGGUCGUUUAACUCCCCUCAAUUUACUAACUUGUAUAUUGUUUUUCAGAAGUAACUCUAAAAGGCAAAUAAGCAUAUUCUGUGUUCAGAUUUGGACAUUAGUGAAGCAGCAGGCUGAAAUCUUAAACCACAGAGGUUAAUUUUGCAAUAUUUUUAUUGCAAAAUUACUAUUUAUAACAUAAUUAAUUAGGCAUUAACUUGUUACUUUGGGAGGCACUCUGUAUUCUGUAAGCCUGGUAACUGUACCACUCCAAGAGGUGCUGCGAGCAGAACUUGUCUCCUUUUUCCUCCCCUGCUGCCAUCUGUGCUCCUGGCCAGCCUCGCUGCUCUGGCCAAACAUGAGGGCUGAAGAAGCAGCACUUUGUUCACUUUCUCUUCUGUACAGAGUUUUCUCUUCUAGCCCUACAUAAGUGCAAAGCAAAUUCUGGCAGUUGUUACCAAGAACUUAGCAAGAACAAGGUCGUGGUGGACUCCUAUACAACUUCACCUUUUUAUUUCCCUUCUCCCCUGCCCAACACACUUUUUCUGUACCCAAUGAGGAAAAAUCUGCUGUACCCACAGAAAUGCAGUAAGCUCUUCCUUUGAAUUCUAACAAAGAAAAAUACCAAGCAAAUCCCAGCGAGUCCACAUCACGUCAGUCUCUUCGGUUAUUAAAAGCCACAGGCUGCAUUUUCCUGGAUUGAGAGGAGAUUUUUUGCUUUUAGAAGGUUUCUAUCAUUAAUCUUUUUUUAAUGAGGAACUUGCAAUUGCUGCCAGAUCAUGGUCUGUGUUUGCUUUGGCACUGAUUAGUGAAGCUGGAACUCUUUACAGUUUUGUGUAAAGUCUUUUUUUAAUUUUUGUGUUGUGUCGGCCUCUGUGUGUGGGCAUAGAGUUCUACAAACAUAUUUUCCUGGAUCUUUUUAAUCAAUUUGAAGAAAUUUAUCUUUUAAAAAGUUAUUUGCUCUACAAUUAAAGCUGAUCUUGCAGUUAGGCCCUACAUUCUUGUGAACACAUUAAAACAAAGCAUCUGACCUCUUUAUAGACAGUUAACAUUAAUUUAUUCAUUUAGCUGUAUCAUUUCAUAUUAUACCUAAAAUGACAAAACAUAAUUCAGCUUCAAACAAAUUUAGGAAAAUUUUUCAUUGAGUAUGCUCUGAAUUUCAAAAUUUGUAAGAAAGACAAUAAAAUUAUUAAUUUCAGGUUUUCAAAAUGCUGUGAUUUUAUUGCAAUUUUAGGAGGUUUUAGUGUAACUCUUGGCAAAUGAAGUAUAUUUGGAUUUAAUGAGAUAUCUUUAUGCUUAGUUAUUAAAAGAAAUGAGUACAAAAUGUGAAGUCCACUUCUGUACCAAAGUAAGAGCUGAAAUCUCAUAACUUGAAACUCUCAAGAAUGAUUUCUACAAUCCUAGAGGAAUUUGGUGUCCUCCCUUUGAAAGGGAUUUUAUCUCCCUAGUUUUGUAAAGGGUUUAUACAAGAUGAUUUUCAAUGACAAAAACAGGAGCAGGCCCUAAAACUUGGCCUUCUCUCCUGUUUAAUGUGGCUCAGUUUAACAUUGAAUUCUUCUCUCUUUACUCAGGAUAAACUGUUGAAUUCAACUGGGCUUGAAGAUUUUCUCAGGGUUUCAAUUGCUAAAUAAUACAGGAGUUUCAGCAACACUGAUUGAUCGUGGCAGAAAUUAGACCCCAGAGCACUGUGGCCCAAAUAUUUAUGGUAUAGACAGAUAAUGUCUAUGCAAAGCAAUUAAAACCAUGAUUUCUCUGAGGAACGUUUGUGUAUGUGUAACUGUGUGUAUUUAAAUGAGGAAAAUUUGGGACAAAUCCUUCACUUUGCCUAAAUAUAUUUGUAAUGUAAAACUUCUCUAACCUCAGGAGCAAAAAAAAAAAAAAAAAAAUUAAAAUCAAGCUGUUACUCUGUAAUGGAUUUUCUAUAAAUCAAGGGAAAAAGAAUUUAAUUUCUGGAGACACAGAUGAAUUGAAGCUCAGGUUUCACAUAUAAAGAGCUCAUCAUCAUUCAAUGUUCUACUGAAUUGUUACUGUAUGAGCUUGUGUGUCUUAUCAGUCCUACUUUUUUAAUAAUGGGGCAGGGUUAUCCAUGGCAUGCACAAAUAUACAAGUCAAAAUCUUGAGGGUGUCUGAGAGCAAGUACCUUACUUGAUGGUCAGGCACUGGAAUAAUGUGAGUUCUUCCAGAGGUGCUAAGCCAUCUCUAGUUCUGCAGAUCUUGGGGUUUGACUUAUUUGUGAGUGCAUUCUGUUCUCUGUGUAUGAACAGAGCAUGCCUGAUGCCAAUCCCAGCUUUGUUUUCCUGUAAACACUUGGCUAUUCAAUUUACAUGAUGCAUGAAUAAAGCAGAAACUGUGAGAUAUACACCAUUUGGUCUCAGAUCCCAUUACAUUAUUGUUAAAAUAAUCCAAGCAUGGUACUUUGUAUAAAUCAUUUUACUUAGCCUGCUACAUCACUGUAUAAAAACAGCACCUAGCAAAGUGAAUAAAUCAUGUUGUUUGAUUUUACUGGUUAAGUUUAAAGAAGCAUUUUAACAUAGUUCUUGGUUAUUUAUGAAUUAAUCAUAAUGUAAGUCGAAGUAGUUUCAUAUGUUAGUUUCUAUUUUCACUCCUGUUCCACAAAACAGAAGUUCCCUUUCAUGGAAAAUCUGCUUCUUUACAAAAAUCUGUACUUGUUUGCAAAAUGUGAUUAUAUUUGCUAAAAUAAAGAGUAUUUUUGCUACUAAUUUAAACAACAAA
Long non-coding RNA from Melospiza melodia melodia, 3630 nucleotides. RefSeq lists it as uncharacterized. The transcript has 2 exons. The record is from RefSeq and is a predicted model, not a curated record. Lineage: Eukaryota; Metazoa; Chordata; Aves; Passeriformes; Passerellidae.